ACGGAAGGCAGCAGUGGGGAAUAUUGCACAAUGGGGGAAACCCUGAUGCAGCAACGCCGCGUGAAGGAAGACGGUCUUCGGAUUGUAAACUUCUGUUCUUAGUGAAGAUAAUGACGGUAGCUAAGGAGCAAGCCACGGCUAACUACGUGCCAGCAGCCGCGGUAAUACGUAGGUGGCAAGCGUUGUCCGGAAUUACUGGGUGUAAAGGGAGCGCAGGCGGGAAAUCAAGUUGGAUGUGAAAUGUCGAGGCUUAACCCCGGAACUGCAUCCAAAACUGAUUUUCUUGAGUGAAGUAGAGGUAGGCGGAAUUCCGAGUGUAGCGGUGAAAUGCGUAGAUAUUCGGAGGAACACCAGUGGCGAAGGCGGCCUACUGGGCUUUAACUGACGCUGAGGCUCGAAAGUGUGGGGAGCAAACAGGAUUAGAUACCCUGGUA
RNAcentral lists this ribosomal RNA (434 nucleotides) under uncultured Clostridiales Family IV bacterium. Its description in RNAcentral is "bacterial SSU rRNA". It matches the Rfam family "Bacterial small subunit ribosomal RNA", at positions 341 to 792 of the family's 1533-position model. Lineage: Bacteria; Bacillati; Bacillota; Clostridia; Eubacteriales; Eubacteriales Family IV. Incertae Sedis. The record is from RNAcentral.